This 429-nucleotide ribosomal RNA is filed under the name bacterium. Its description in RNAcentral is "partial 16S ribosomal RNA". It matches the Rfam family "Bacterial small subunit ribosomal RNA", at positions 355 to 776 of the family's 1533-position model. The record is from RNAcentral.
UGGGGAAUCUUCCGCAAUGGACGAAAGUCUGACGGAGCAACGCCGCGUGAGUGAUGACGGCCUUCGGGUUGUAAAGCUCUGUUAAUCGGGACGAAUGGUUCUUGUGCGAAUAGUGCGAGGAUUUGACGGUACCGGAAUAGAAAGCCACGUCUAACUACGUGCCAGCAGCCGCGGUAAUACGUAGGUGGCAAGCGUUGUCCGGAAUUAUUGGGCGUAAAGCGCGCGCAGGCGGAUUGGUCAGUCUGUCUUAAAAGUUCGGGGCUUAACCCCGUGAUGGGAUGGAAACUGCCAAUCUAGAGUAUCGGAGAGGAAAGUGGAAUUCCUAGUGUAGCGGUGAAAUGCGUAGAUAUUAGGAAGAAAACCAGUGGAGAAGGCGACUUUCUGGACGAAAACUGACGCUGAGGCGCGAAAGCCAGGGGAGCGAACGGG